GCCGGCUCACCUACUGUUUUACCCUAUGCUUGUUUUUUAUGGUUUUUAUGUUUUGGUGUUUUGUUAUUGGUUUUCAGCACGAUAUUACUACACACACACACUCGACAAGUAUAGCUUACGCUAUACCAUAACUGUGACUGACCGCCAUCAGCCGUGACUUACUCGGACAAAGAACACCACAAGCUCCGGGGAGAAUAUACCUUCUCCCACCCCCCCGCGACUUCC
This is a non-coding RNA of Pelobates cultripes (western spadefoot toad), 225 nucleotides long. The record is from the annotation of a GenBank genome assembly. Lineage: Eukaryota; Metazoa; Chordata; Amphibia; Anura; Pelobatidae.